GGCUGCUGGGAGGACAAGAAUGUUACAGAACUUGGCUCACUGAUAGAAAUGAGGAUAGCAGCAAGUUCUGAUUGUGGCUCAGUGGGUUAAAAACACAACAUAGUGUUUGUGAGGAUGUAGUUUUGAUCCCUGGCUCUGCUCAGUGGGUUAAGGAUCUGGCAUUGCCAUAAGCUGUGGCCUGGGUCACAGAUGUCACUCGGUCUGGCAUGGCUGUGGCUAAGGCAUAGACUGGCAGCUGCAGCUCUGAUUAGACCCCUAGUCUGGCAACUUUGAUGUGCCUCAGGUGCAGCCAUAAAAAAGACAAAUGAAAAAGAAAGAAAUGAGGAUGACAGACUCCCAGAAUAACAGAAGAUCAGAUGCAUUUAAGAACCAGAGGAUGGCAAUUAUUAUAAUGAUGAGAAAGGUCAGAUUGGAGCCCACAAAAAAUUGCAGAUUAUUAACAGUAUACAGCAUCCCCAGGGGUGAAUUAAAUGGGCAGCCAACAGAGGAACUAUUUAGCUUAUACCAGCAGAAGCAAUGAAGAGUAGAUGACCAAGGGGUGAGCAAUAUGAUUCCUUGCCCAAUUCUGCACCUGAGCUAAGUUUCAGAUGAAAAACUCAUUGACUCAGAGGUGGCAGGGUCCCAGGGGGGAAGGACCCCAUGACAUCACAGUGAAAAACAUGGUGAUGGUUUCCCCAGUGCCUCCCUGAAGAGACUUAGAGCCUUUUGUAUGAGUAACCAUGCACUGAGGAAAAGGCAAUAUCACACAUUCAAGGACUGAUGGACCCAGUGUCUAAGUGACAUUGUAAUCUGGAGUGGUGAAGUGUCAUCAUGGUCCCCUGUUAGUGUAUAAAUAUAUUAGAGGCCAAUUAACAGAGUCCUGGUCAAGGUCAGGCUUACACUGCAUUCUCUGAGUCCCAUUGGUUCCACUAGUUCACACCCAUUGGUCAUUUUCCCAAUCCCUGAAUUGAAGUCGAUGUACUUGGUACAUAACCCUCACAGUGGUUUCUUGCACUGUGGAGUAAGAGUAGAGAAGACCUAGUGGAAGCCUCUAAACCACCCCCACCCCACCUCCGACCAAGAUAACAGAUAUAAAACACAGUAUUGCUUCCCAAGAGAUCAGAAAUUAGUGCUGCCUUUAAGACUCUAAAUGAUGCAGCAGCAGUGGUCCCCAUCCAUUUAAUUCAUCAGUCUGGCUCCUUCAGGAACUAGAUUAAUGCUGGAGGAUAAUUACAGAGUACCACAAGCUCAACUAACUAGUACCCCUGAUUAGAGCCACCAUGCUGCAUGUGGCAUCUUUGCUAGAUGAGAUUAAUCUGGCCUCAUAUAUAUAGUAUGCAGCUGUUGAUUUUGUGAACAUAUUAUUUUCUAUCCCAAUCAGGAAAGAGGAUUGAAUGGAACAGUUUUACUCCAGAACUCUAUUAGCUCUGUUAUGCUCUGCCAUAAUGUAGCCUGAAGAGAUCUGGACCAUCCACAGAACAUCACAUUAAUCCAUUACAUUGAUGGUAUUAUGUUGAUAAAGCUACAUAAACAAGAAGGGGCUUGUAUGCUGGAGGCCUUGUAAGAUCCAUGUGUUCCAGAGGGUGGACAGUAAACCAUGCGGAGUUCCAAGAGCACGCUACAAUGGGAAAACAUUUAAAGUUUCAGUGGUCAGGCUUGUGUUGAGAUAUCUCUUCUCAAAUAGAAGUCUAAAGUAUUUCCUUUUGUACCUCCUCCCAUAAAAAAAGAAGAGACAGGCUUUGGGUUCUAGAGGCAGCACUUCUCUGGCAUGUGUACUGAGUGAUGGAUGGCUGCCAGCUUUUAAUGAAGCCCAGAGCAAGAAAGCGCUCUGCAGUAUAUCCAGAUUGCUAUGCAAGCCAUGCAGCCACGAGCCAUAUGAUCUGCAGAACCUAUGGUGUGAAGAUAUCAAUGGUAGGAAAAGAUGCUGUGUGGCGUUUCUAGCAAGCCCCAGCAAGGAAAUAACAAAGCAGGGACCCUGGGGUUUGAGAGCAAGACCAUGCCAGAAAAUUAGUACCUGGCAUGCUACUUGGGCCUUAUGGAGGUGGAAUGCCUGACUAUGGGAAACCAAAUAAUCAUACAUCAUGAAUUGCCUCUCAUGAGAACUCACAAAUUCCUAAAAUUGAGCAGGCCAGCAAUAAUCUCUCAAACGAUGGAAGUGGUACAUUCACCACGACUGAGCACUGUCAGGGCCAGAGGGCACAAAGCAAGCUACAUGUGCAAGUAACCCAGACUUCCACGAUGCCCACUGCUGUUACACCAGUGCCUGUCACUCAGGUGGAAAUGGAGGGGGAAAAAAAUGUCUGAUCUUGGUUUAUGGGCGGGUCAGCUCUACAUGUGGGCACAAGUUGCGCUGGAAAACAGCUACACUAUGCCUCAUUCAGAGUAGGCCUUGGCAGUGAUGAGGGACAAUUAUCUCAGUGGACAGAGGCCUCACCAGCAAUGGCUUGGCCAAGAUGAUCAGUGACGAGGAGGACUGGGGUAGAGGCAUGUGGAUGGACAUUUGGAAGCAUACACAAGAUGUGAAGUUUUUAUAUCACACUUGAUGUCCAUCAGAAAGUUUCACUAUGAGAGCCACCAAGUAGACAAAAUGAUUUGGCCAGUUGAUGCCCACCCAAGUACUGGUAUGAGAGGCACAAGUAACAGUGUGAUAUGUUUAUUUCCUAUCACUAACCACUGAAAUGACCUAAUAGCCAUAAUAUUCUGGUAACAAUGAGUACAUCUAGCUCUCAGAUCUUGGUUUUUAAAAUACCAAUAUCCAUUAAAAAGGAUGCAGGAACCCUUGGAGAAAUGGUUGACUCCAAAUCUGGGACAGAAAAUGUACAAGGUGAGCCUGGAAUAUUUUUUCAUAGCCAAAGGGCAAGAAAGUUCUCAAAAGGCCACAAAAGCCGGCUUGAAGGAAUUCCCACUGACUAAACUUGGGACAAUUUGAACAUCAAAUUGAAUAAUGAUGCUAAUGAAUUUUAACACAUUGAAUAAAAGACAAUCGUAAGUUCACAGUGUUCUUUACUAAAAAUGGAAGGAAGGGGAGAGACCUUAUCUGCAAAAGAGUACAAGCCGAUAGAUGUAGUAAAAUGAUAAAUAGAAAAAGCACCAUUUUGCAACCACUGAUUGAUAUGAGUAGUAAUCAUUAAUGGAUGCUAAAACCCCUAGGUGAAAAGUUAUUGGGAAACAGGAUAUUCAGUUUUCAAAUAUCAUGCCACAAAUUACUUACUCAUUACAAAGAAGGGAAAAAAGAUGAAAUUUUAAAUGACAGUGGAGAGAUUUGAUGGACACCAGUGUAACCAAGUGAUGAAACUUUGCCUUAUCAAUAACAGAAUAAAUGAUAUUUUUACCUCUUGAGAGGUACUGAGAAAAACACAACAUCACCUAAGCUAUGCUCUUGCCAGAGUGUUUAACCUUAACAUAACCACAAGCAAACAGUCAGGUAAAUCCAGAUUAUGAGACAAUUUACACUAAAACUGGCUUUCCAAAAUGUCAGUCAUUAAAAGCAAAAUAAAAGGUGGGGAUCUUUUCUACAUUAAAGAACAUUAAACUCUUCUAUAUUAAAGAAAUACAUUAUAUAACAUUUGCUUGGAUACUGGAGCCAAAACAAAAACAAAAUGAAAAAUAACUAGAAGCACAUUUGGUGGACAACUGGAGAAAACUGAGUAUCAGAUAGUAUAUUAGGUUAAAAUGCUGUGUUAUUUUUUAAUUUCUUGAGUAUAAUGCUGCUGUUGUGAUUAUAUGUAGCAGAAUGCACUUAUUCAUAGGAGAGAUUUACUAAAGUAUGUAGGGAUAACGUGUCCUGAGAGAUAAAGGGACUGUGGCAAAAUAUUUGUUAACUACGGUAAAUUAGGUUGAAAGGUAAAUGAUUGUUAGCUUUACUAUUUGUUCAUUCCUUUUUUUUUUUUUUUCUCCCUCCCUUUUUUUUUUUUAAUGGCUGCACCCAUAGCAUAUGUAAGUUCCCAGGGCAGAGCCUAAAUCUGAGCCACAGACACAACCUAUGCCAUAGCCGUAGCAACGCCAGAUUCUUUAACCUACUGCACUGGACCAGGAACUGAACCCAGGCCUCCACAGCAACCUGAGCUGCCACAGAUUCUUUUUUUCUUUUUCUUUCUUUCUUUCUUUCUUUCUUUCUUUCUUUCUUUUUCUUUUUAAAUUAUAGUUGAUUUACAAUGUUGUACAGCCAAUUUCUGCUGUACAGCAAAGUGACUCAGUUACACAUUCUUUUUUAUUAUUUUCCAUUAUGGUCAUACAUUCUUUUUAAAAAUAUUAUUUUCCAUUAUGGCCAGAGUUUUUUCUAAGUAAUUCAUCUUUCCAACCAUAUUGCCACCAGAAGAUCUAGGGGUAUCCUUUUUUCCCUUUUUUCUUUUUUUUUUCUUUUUCAACAUUUCAUUAUGAAAAAUGUUUAUAUGUACGGUAAGUUUGAAAAAAACUUAACAUUUAUAUAUCCACCAUCUAGGCUGUACCAUUACCAUUUUACUAUGCUUGCUUUAUCACACAUCUAUCCAUCAUCCCUCUACUCUGGAUGGGAACACUCUUUUUCUUAAAGUUGUAGCAAAGUCCUUCUUCCAUGAGCCCUGAAGAUAAGCUCUGAGAUCUGAACCAUGCAUGAACUGGAUAUUAGAGAUAAAAUAUUGAAAAUCCAGCAUUUCCUAAACUGUUAUAACUACGGAAUUAAGUUUUGGAAACACAUAGAACUUUCUCAAGACAGGAAAGAAAAAAUGGCAUAGUUAGCAUCUAUAUAACUGUCUGUUGCAUAAACAUUUCCUUGUUGUUAACAUUUCUUAUUCAACAAAUCAAGAUGGAGUCAACAAUAUAAAAUAGCUGUGUUUACCCGCUCUGGGGGCUGUCAUGUUCUCCACUAUUGGCCUUCCAUACUAAGCUGACUACCUUUAUU
RNAcentral lists this long non-coding RNA (4858 nucleotides) under Sus scrofa (pig). RNAcentral's name for it is "lncRNA (ENSSSCG00005041149.1)". The record is from RNAcentral. Lineage: Eukaryota; Metazoa; Chordata; Mammalia; Artiodactyla; Suidae.